GAUGAACGCUGGCGGCGUGCCUAAUACAUGCAAGUCGAGCGAACAGACGAGGAGCUUGCUCCUCUGACGUUAGCGGCGGACGGGUGAGUAACACGUGGAUAACCUACCUAUAAGACUGGGAUAACUUCGGGAAACCGGAGCUAAUACCGGAUAACAUGUUGAACCGCAUGGUUCAACAGUGAAAGACGGUCUUGCUGUCACUUAUAGAUGGAUCCGCGCCGCAUUAGCUAGUUGGUAAGGUAACGGCUUACCAAGGCAACGAUGCGUAGCCGACCUGAGAGGGUGAUCGGCCACACUGGAACUGAGACACGGUCCAGACUCCUACGGGAGGCAGCAGUAGGGAAUCUUCCGCAAUGGGCGAAAGCCUGACGGAGCAACGCCGCGUGAGUGAAGAAGGUCUUCGGAUCGUAAAACUCUGUUAUUAGGGAAGAACAAAUGUGUAAGUAACUAUGCACGUCUUGACGGUACCUAAUCAGAAAGCCACGGCUAACUACGUGCCAGCAGCCGCGGUAAUACGUAGGUGGCAAGCGUUAUCCGGAAUUAUUGGGCGUAAAGCGCGCGUAGGCGGUUUUUUAAGUCUGAUGUGAAAGCCCACGGCUCAACCGUGGAGGGUCAUUGGAAACUGGAAAACUUGAGUGCAGAAGAGGAAAGUGGAAUUCCAUGUGUAGCGGUGAAAUGCGCAGAGAUAUGGAGGAACACCAGUGGCGAAGGCGACUUUCUGGUCUGUAACUGACGCUGAUGUGCGAAAGCGUGGGGAUCAAACAGGAUUAGAUACCCUGGUAGUCCACGCCGUAAACGAUGAGUGCUAAGUGUUAGGGGGUUUCCGCCCCUUAGUGCUGCAGCUAACGC
RNAcentral lists this ribosomal RNA (849 nucleotides) under Staphylococcus sp. M_Sw_oHS_03/11_4_1(1). Its description in RNAcentral is "bacterial SSU rRNA". It matches the Rfam family "Bacterial small subunit ribosomal RNA", at positions 28 to 858 of the family's 1533-position model. The record is from RNAcentral. Lineage: Bacteria; Bacillati; Bacillota; Bacilli; Caryophanales; Staphylococcaceae.